AACGAACGCUGGCGGCGUGCCUAACACAUGCAAGUCGAGCGAGCAGAUCCCUUCGGGGUGAAGCUAGCGGCGGACGGGUGAGUAACACGUGGGCAACCUGCCUCAUAGAGGGGAAUAGCCUUCCGAAAGGAAGAUUAAUACCGCAUAAGAUUGUAGCUUCGCAUGAAGCAGCAAUUAAAGGAGCAAUCCGCUACGAGAUGGGCCCGCGGCGCAUUAGCUAGUUGGUGAGGUAACGGCUCACCAAGGCGACGAUGCGUAGCCGACCUGAGAGGGUGAUCGGCCAGAUUGGGACUGGGACACGGCCCAGACUCCUACGGGGGGCAGCAGUGGGGAAUAUUGCACAAUGGGGGAAACCCUGAUGCAGCAAUGCCGCGUGAGUGAUGACGGCCUUCGGGUUGUAAAGCUCUGUCUUCGGGGACGAUAAUGACGGUACCCGAGGAGGAAGCCACGGCUAACUACGUGCCAGCAGCCGCAGUAA
This 478-nucleotide ribosomal RNA is filed under the name uncultured bacterium. Its description in RNAcentral is "partial 16S ribosomal RNA". It matches the Rfam family "Bacterial small subunit ribosomal RNA", at positions 29 to 523 of the family's 1533-position model. The record is from RNAcentral.